RNAcentral lists this transfer RNA (75 nucleotides) under archaeon. RNAcentral's name for it is "tRNA-Asp". It matches the Rfam family "tRNA". Rfam says of the family: Transfer RNA (tRNA) molecules are approximately 80 nucleotides in length. Their secondary structure includes four short double-helical elements and three loops (D, anti-codon, and T loops). Further hydrogen bonds mediate the characteristic L-shaped molecular structure. tRNAs have two regions of fundamental functional importance: the anti-codon, which is responsible for specific mRNA codon recognition, and the 3' end, to which the tRNAs corresponding amino acid is attached (by aminoacyl-tRNA synthetases). tRNAs cope with the degeneracy of the genetic code in two manners: having more than one tRNA (with a specific anti-codon) for a particular amino acid; and 'wobble' base-pairing, i.e. permitting non-standard base-pairing at the 3rd anti-codon position. The record is from RNAcentral.
GCCCUGAUAGUGUAGUCCGGUCUAUCAUGAAGCCCUGUCGAGGCUUCGACCCGGGUUCAAAUCCCGGUCAGGGCG